UUCGUGACUGACUUGUAUAAACUGUCAACCGAUCAACAAUCUAUCACUUGAAUUUGAACAAAGAGACGUUAUGAAACAUGUUGCCUUGCCUACCCACCACCCCCAACUCACACACACACACACGCCCAGCCCUCCCACCUCUCUAAAUCGCCCAUUAUGAUAUAAUCCGCAGCGCUGCGCAGUGAUCUGAAAAGAGCUCUAAUCUCCAACACUCUCAGUCCGCCGGCCGGUCAGAAACUCACCGGGAAGUAGAGGAGCAUGGAGCCGAACAGGAUCGUCUCCAGCAGCAGGAGGCCCGACGCUCGGAUCCUCUGAGCCAGGAGAGGAUGGGGAGGCGGGAGGAGCAGACAGAGGAAGACAGGUGUGAGGAAACAGCACAAUCAGCAGGGUGCACUAUGGAAAAACUGCCCAGGGUUAGCUGAAAUGAGGACCAUUUAGACUGACAACACCGUGGAAUAAGCAGACCUUCUUCAGACUGGGGUCUCCAUCAGCAGGUCGACUGGGACUGACUGGGACGUCCAGCUUUCAGCCUGAGCACAGUGGGCCCCAGGGCCUCCUCCCACGCUGCACCCAAACUGCAUCACAACUUUCAAAACUGCUCUUAAAACCCAAAACUAGCUCUCUCACUUUAACUGCAUCAACUGCAUCUUAUCCUAAAGGAAUACUCCAGCAUUUUGGGCAGAAUUUCCUUUUACUGACUCACCCAGACUGAGACCAGAUGUUGGACAACAUUUUCUCCUCUGUACGUCCAGCGGUUCAGU
Long non-coding RNA from Myripristis murdjan (pinecone soldierfish), 761 nucleotides. RefSeq lists it as uncharacterized. The record is from RefSeq and is a predicted model, not a curated record. NCBI's taxonomy places the organism in Eukaryota, Metazoa, Chordata, Actinopteri, Holocentriformes, Holocentridae. The transcript is spliced from 3 exons.